UCAAGAGGCUUGCUGGGGCAAGAGCCCGGGUUAGACACCAGUCUUCUGUCGCCUAAUUAUAUGUCCUUUACAAGAUAGCUUUUUGUGGUGGACACAGAUGUGGUAAAAAUAGGCCUCUGGCUUCUGGAUAUUCACAAAAUGCAAGUAGUGCCAAUUACCUGUGAACAUGAAGGGUGUACAUUUUAAUUGACUCAGGCCUGGGAUUGUUAAAUCAUAUCAUUAAAAAAAUAAAUAUUUUGUGUGAUAUUUUAACAGGUGAAUUGCUUUAAAAUUUAGAAACUCCAUUCCUAAAUGUAACACCAAGAAUUAUUCUAAAUUAACAGUAAGCAAUAUUUCUAAGAGCUUUUAUUUCGUGUGUGUGUGUAUGUGUGUAUCAGUGUAUUGCGUGUGUGGUUUUACUCACCGAGGGUCCCUGAAAUGGCUUUCUUUGUUCCCAGAGAAAACAGUUUUGAUUUUUUAGGUGGAAAUCUUUAGUUUCUUCAUCAGUGUAAUAUGUGCUAUCAGUUCAAAUUUGAAAGCCACGUUUAUUAUUUCUGCUGUGGGGAGAAAAAUGCAGUUGCCUUUUGGGUUGGUUCUGUUGUGUGAUGUUUUACUAUUAAUCUCUGAUGGAUAAUUGCAUAAAUCGAUAAGGGGAAUAGGUGAGAAAUGAUGGGUAACAGGAAGCAGAUAUCCAUGUCUGAUAGAUUAGAUGGGGUCAGCUUCCUGCCAUCUUAUCAAGGGUGAUAGCAAUCAGCAAUUAACAAUUUAAAAAUCAUUGCCUUCAGUUCAAAAUGGAGUGUCACAUUUCCAAAUAAUUCAUUCUUUUCAAAUACUUGUGACAAUAGUCUACUUUCAAGACCUAUUUUAAACUGACAUUAACUAUUCUCUCCUAUUGAGUGUUAAUCCUGUUUCGUUUUCAUCAGGAAAACUCUGGAACAUUUCAGUUUUGCCAACUGGUUAGAGUCUGUUGAUACCACUGAGCAUUGUUUUACUAUUUGAGGCAGAAUUUCAGGUAUAAUAUGCUUUUCCUCAAUUCAACACCAAAAGGACAAAUCUGCAGCAUACCAAAAUGAAGUUCAUCAUCAAAGUUAGCAUAUAAUAUUAUCAAAUGCAUUAAUAUAUGUACUUAAUAUAUAUGUUUAUUUUUAAAUUGGGUUGAAUGUAUGUUCCCCCUUCUUGAGAAUUGUAGCAUAACACUUAAAAUUAUAAUAUGAAAAUAGAUUGUAUAGUAUGAAAUAAAUGUUAAAUUUUUUUAAUGGUGACUUUAGGUUUACAGCUUUUCCUGUCUUUUAGAACAAAUUAGUCAUUUUUUUUUAUCCUAAGAAAGGGUUGCAUUAUAAAGUUGCUCUACUACUCACCUAUCAGAGAAAACACAUGGGACUCAUAUCUAAUUCUCUAAUGUAGCCAAAAGUGCCGUUUGUAACACUACUUAAUGAUGGAUGUUUUCUGAAGCUCUUUUGCCUGAAAAAAAAAAAGUGCAUUAAAAAGCUUUUUCUGUACUGUAUUUGAUUUGGAAUCAUUUUCUCCCAACAUAGCCCUGUAUUGAUGAGCAUUGUGGAAUAGUCUAUAUAGAAAAAUGCUACGUAGUUGUUUACUACUGUGGGAGAAUGUUCGUUCUUUUUUUAUUUUCAACUACUUAGGAAAUUGAUUAUGUAAUUCAGAAUGUGUAGGGGCAGGGUAAAGUAUGGGAGUUAGUGAUUAUUUGGAUUACACUCAGUAUUAACUAAAAGAACUUCACGUUUUUCUCUCAUUUCCUUCCUUCCUUCCUUCAUUUUUCAUUCAUUCAUUCCUUCCUUCCUUCAUUCAUUCAUUCAUUCAAGAAAACUCACUGAGACUUUGUUUGGCUAGGCAUUGCAUAUAGAUCCUGGAAAUACAAAACUGAGUAGGUACGACCGUGGAUCCACCUCAUCCUUUGAGUCACCUUUGGGCCUGCCUCCUAGAAGUGUUCUCUCCAUCAAAGAGGGUGGGGCGGGCUAUGAUAUUAUGGUGUUGAAGCAGGUGGUCAAAUGCCAGAAACUACCAUCUAAUCCAAGAACUACAAGACCAGCAGCAACUUACAUUUAACUGUAUCUUUCGCACAACCAUGUCCCCACUUUCCUGCACCCAAGGUAACCACAGUGCUGAGUGCUGACUUUACCAUUCUCUUAUUCUUGAUCAUUGUUUAGAUUUUUUAAAAAUGAAAUUUAUUAAAAGAGCAUCAAGUUUUAUAUGAUCUGAGAUUUGCAUGUUUUCGUUCAGGAUUAUAUUACUAAGGUUCUUCUAGAUUUUUGUGUGUAGUCAUAAUUCGUUCAUUUUUCACAGGUUCAUAAAUUUCUAGAGCACAAGCUAUUUACUUGUCAUUGGGCAUUUGGGUUGCUUCCACUGCUGUUGUUAUCAUCAUUAAUAGGGUUAUUAUGAACAUUCUUCUACCAUCUCCUGGGAAUAAGCAAUGGAAUUUAUCUUAGGUAUUUACUUGGGAGAAGAAUUACUGAGUCAUGGGAAAUGUGAGUGCUUACCUUACAAGUUCACAUCUAACUAGUUUCCAAAGUGGUGAAUCACUGUAUACUCCCUUCCAAAAUAUGAAAGUGGUAUAUGUUGUGAAUAGCUUCUCCAACACUUGAUAUUCUGUGACUUCUUAAUUUUUGUCAAAUAAAUGUCUAUUUGGU
This 2624-nucleotide long non-coding RNA is filed under the name Canis lupus familiaris (dog). RNAcentral describes it as "lncRNA (ENSCAFG00845007340.1)". The record is from RNAcentral. Lineage: Eukaryota; Metazoa; Chordata; Mammalia; Carnivora; Canidae.